GGGGGCGUGUGUUUGCGGGUUCGAUUCCCCCUUUU
RNAcentral lists this transfer RNA (35 nucleotides) under Eutreptiella gymnastica. RNAcentral's name for it is "partial Selenocysteine transfer RNA". The record is from RNAcentral. Lineage: Eukaryota; Euglenozoa; Euglenophyceae; Eutreptiales; Eutreptiaceae.